RNAcentral lists this ribosomal RNA (351 nucleotides) under Triticum aestivum (bread wheat). RNAcentral's name for it is "partial small subunit ribosomal RNA". The record is from RNAcentral. Lineage: Eukaryota; Viridiplantae; Streptophyta; Magnoliopsida; Poales; Poaceae.
AUGAGGUUUGACACUUUGGAAGGCGUCAGAGAACACUACAAUGCGUAUGCUUUACAGCUUGGGUUUUCAAUCAACAUGAACACAUCAAGGAGGACUGUUGAUACUGGUGUGUUGAUAAAGCAGAAGUUUGUUUGCAACAAGUUUCGGAAACCUAAAAUUGAUGAUGGAGGAGUAGAAAGUAUUCCUACCUUGGAUGAGAUUGUUGAACAAAAACAUGAUAUUGAUGAAGAUGAAGAAAUUUUCUUUCUUGGUGAUGAGAGUAAAAAAAAGAAAUGCAAGAAGCGGAAGGAAGCGAGAUACAAUAGUGCAGACAGGAUGCAAAGCAAAGAUUGUGGUCAAACUAUUAGAUAG